RNAcentral lists this long non-coding RNA (3183 nucleotides) under Panax ginseng (ginseng). RNAcentral describes it as "long non-coding RNA (PGIN_LNC010416)". The record is from RNAcentral. Lineage: Eukaryota; Viridiplantae; Streptophyta; Magnoliopsida; Apiales; Araliaceae.
UUUUUUUUUCUUUUCAUUCAUUCCCUGAAUCGCAACCUUUACAAUUCUUCUCUAUACUAGGAUCAUAUUUAUUAUAUGACUUAUUUAGCCUGAGUAGAUAUGAGUAUAUAUAUACAAUUCAUUCUUUCAAGCAUAUCCCCUUUUUAGUAAUCUCCAAUUACCGAAUAAUUCAAAAAUUUAUACAUCUGUGAUUUACACAUGAAAAUACCAUCAAAUGAUUCGACACAAUCUCAAUUAAAUCACUAGUCUUCUAUUUAUGCGCUGCUAAUCACGAUAGAUCGCAUCAUAGAUUUAACCUGCAAAUUAAGCAAGAUUGAGCACGACGGCCCAACAAGUCUAACAGUCUAUCAUGCAUCACGUAGCACAUAGGUUUCACAUUCAACAUAGGUUUCACAUUCAGUUCAUGCAUUUAUAUUCUUGGUGUUCAAGCAUAUUACAAAUGCAUUAUCACAUUUAUGUCCUGCUGGUAGCAACUUACAUACCAUAGCAUACUACACAUGUCAUGUACAUGUCAUUCAUUGCACAUAUAUAUUGAGUUCCCCGACUCAAUUCAAUAAUUAGUCAUAAUUUGACAUUCAUCGUUCACAAAGCAAAUAAUGCAUUUCAUAAGUAUUACAUACUUAUAAACAUAAAUCAUGCUAACAGUUAUCUAUAACAAUUAUAAGUCCACAUAAAUAAACUGAGAAACUUGCAUUGUUCGUAGAUUAUUGGUACAAUUUCAACUUAACCUGUGUAUUCUCACCGAUCCUACACAAUUAUUUGCAUUUACAAGCAUAUUAGCCAAAUAACCAAGUCAUAUAGCUUAUAUGUUCACAUAUCACAUAAUCACAGUGAUCAUGUUUUUAGUUCAUGUUCUAUAUUUAAGAUACAUUUUUUAAAUAUCUCAUCCAUAUUCUUAUAAUAACCUUUUCUUUCUUUCAUAGGGUUUGACAUAAUUUUUGUUCAUAAACUUUCCAUGAUUUUAGUUCAUACUCCUUUUAUUUCUUUUGUUUGCCGUAAAUAUACUUUGUAAUCCUCUUUAUAACUUAGGUAUUCAAGGUGAAUAGCUAAGGUAUUUCAUGAUUGUAUAUCAAAAUGGUAGAACUUUUAGUUUCUAAUUUGCUUUGCAAAUCAUAUUGUCAAACGAUUCGCUUAAUCGUAUUGCAUUUCUUAGUUACGUCAAAACAGCCUUCUUUGACCAAAAAAUAUAUGCAGCCUUUAUUGAUGCUAUAAUAAGUUUCUUGCAUAAUUUCAUUUGACUUUAGCAGCCUCUUAUCAUUACACUAUGAUGAGGCUAAAUUUUCCUUGCUAUUCUUUUGUUUUCCCCCUAUUUAACUAAGUGAGCCUAAUAACUCACUUAACUAAACAAACAGUUUCUUAACAAAGUUUGUUUUAAAUUAGCAGCUCUUUAUUGCCAACUUCUACUGCUGUCAUUAUUGUUCAAGGUUAGCAGUCCUGUUCUCCCCUAUUCAACUUCCCUUUUGUAACUUUAUAACUUAUGCUAUGCAAACUUGCUUCAGCCCAAGUUUUAGCAUAAUUGUUUUAUAUUUUAGCCAUCUAUUAAUACGAAUGUUAGGCUUCUUAACUCAAAAUUUUCAAGCUACCUAAACUACUAGCAACUGCUGCUAUUUGCCACUGCUGGUUAUGAGCAGCAGUUUCCCCCCCUUCCAUGCUUAACAUUUCAGUCAUCAUCUCUUCUUUUAUCAAUAUAUAGAUACACAAUACAAAACAGUGUUCAAACAUAGCCGGUUGCAUUAAUUUUUUUUUUUUUUAACAUAUUAUCUGCAGGCUCUGCAACACAGCACAGCGCUGGGCGCUGGCUGCUGCUGCCAGCAGCAGCACCGACUAGCCCAAACCUCCUCUUCCUGUACAAAUUUAUCUCUCUUUUUUUUAUGUUCUAGACAUUACCGACCUGUUAAUAUUAGUUGGGCAAACUUGAGGGUCCAACUGUGCUAAAUAUAAACUCAAGAGAAUACUAACUCAAACAACCAUUGCUGCUACUGAAGCAGCAGCUUUGACACUAGGCUUCCACUAAUUAUUUUUUAAAAAAACUUUGUAGCAUAGAUAAGUUUACACCAACUCUAGGUAUAAUAUACAGAGUAUAUGGAAGUAUUUUGAGCUUAUUGAACCCCUCCAUGUCAGCUUUAUAUACUGCCCAAAACAGAGUGUUCAAAUGACUUGACAUACUAAGUCUAACUUUUCAUUGUUAAUUAAAAAUUGAGCUUUGUUCUAGCUUGACACACUCAAACCCUCUAAUUAGCAUCACAUAUGAUUAAUAAAUCAAGCCCAAGCUCUAAUUCUACCAAAGUUCUGAUUUUAGAUAAAAAUAGUUCAUUGGAGCAUUCUAACAAACACCUUACGUACACAGUUUUAAAACACUCUUUUCAUAGCUAUUGGUUUGUUUUAAAAACCCAGUUUAGCUCCCUUAUUGCUCCAUACAACCCAGCCUAUUCUUCUUUGUUCUAUUCCAGUCCAUAGCAGUUGGUUUCACAGUUAAACCAAACAUAUUGACUGAGAGCAAUAACUAAAUACCUACUAGCAUUCCUCUAAUUUAAAAGUUUGAUAUUAACAAACAGUGAGUUCAAUAACCCAUUCUUUGUCAUGAAAGUUAAACUUACCAAUUUAUUCAAUCGUUUAACCCAACAUCACAGAUAUAUAUCUCAUAUAGAUUUUCAUCAACCAAAACUAAAUCAUCAAUUCACAUAGGCCUAAUUUCUUGACAUAAAAAGAUAAUAAUACCUGGAUACUUAGAUAACUUCUGUGGUAUUACUUCCUUUAGCUUCCAAUUUCGAUCCUCACUUCUUAAUUUUAUUUUACUGGAGCAAAGCUUGGAGUUGUGUGAUAUAGGGAGAAAGAAAGACGCUGAGCUGAAUAUGAGAAGGAAAGAGUAGAAGAAAACUGAGCUUUUUAGCUUGAUUACCCCCCUAGCUUAGCUUGGUGUUAUGCCUAUUAAGAUAAUGGCAUGACACGUCCUACAUACCUUAAUGUCGACUCUGCUCUUGGUUUAAGGUAAUACCCCAGCUCAUGCUUCUAAUGUCUCAGCUCAAAUACUAAGCCCUGUUUGUUUAAUACAUUCCUUCAAUAAAUUAUUAAAGCCUACAACUUUAUUAACAUAAUUCCAUAGUACCAAAUUCAUUAUAUUAUAACUAAUAUUUUGUACUACAAUUUCCUUACAAUAAAAUAACUUAAACUAAUAAAUUAUUU